RNAcentral lists this ribosomal RNA (253 nucleotides) under uncultured bacterium. RNAcentral describes it as "partial 16S ribosomal RNA". It matches the Rfam family "Bacterial small subunit ribosomal RNA", at positions 524 to 776 of the family's 1533-position model. The record is from RNAcentral.
UACGUAGGAUCCGAGCGUUAUCCGGAUUUAUUGGGUUUAAAGGGAGCGUAGGUGGAUUGUUAAGUCAGUUGUGAAAGUUUGCGGCUCAACCGUAAAAUUGCAGUUGAAACUGGCAGUCUUGAGUACAGUAGAGGUGGGCGGAAUUCGUGGUGUAGCGGUGAAAUGCUUAGAUAUCACGAAGAACUCCGAUUGCGAAGGCAGCUCACUAGACUGCAACUGACACUGAUGCUCGAAAGUGUGGGUAUCAAACAGG